RNAcentral lists this ribosomal RNA (497 nucleotides) under uncultured bacterium. RNAcentral's name for it is "partial 16S ribosomal RNA". It matches the Rfam family "Bacterial small subunit ribosomal RNA", at positions 28 to 507 of the family's 1533-position model. The record is from RNAcentral.
GAUGAACGCUGGCGGCGUGCCUAGUACAUGCAAGUCGAGCGAACAGACGAGGAGCUUGCUCCUCUGACGUUAGCGGCGGACGGGUGAGUAACACGUGGAUAACCUACCUAUAAGACUGGGAUAACUUCGGGAAACCGGAGCUAAUACCGGAUAAUAUAUUGAACCGCAUGGUUCAAUAGUGAAAGACGGUUUUGCUGUCACUUAUAGAUGGAUCCGCGCCGCAUUAGCUAGUUGGUAAGGUAACGGCUUACCAAGGCAACGAUGCGUAGCCGACCUGAGAGGGUGAUCGGCCACACUGGAACUGAGACACGGUCCAGACUCCUACGGGGGGCAGCAGUAGGGAAUCUUCCGCAAUGGGCGAAAGCCUGACGGAGCAACGCCGCGUGAGUGAUGAAGGUCUUCGGAUCGUAAAACUCUGUUAUUAGGGAAGAACAAAUGUGUAAGUAACUAUGCACGUCUUGACGGUACCUAAUCAGAAAGCCACGGCUAACUACGUG